GAGACGCUGGCGGCGUGGAUUAGGCAUGCAAGUCGAACGGUAACAGGGAAAAGCUUGCUUUUCUGCUGACGAGUGGCGAACGGGUGAGUAAUACAUCGGAACGUGCCCUGUAGUGGGGGAUAACUACUCGAAAGAGUGGCUAAUACCGCAUACAACCUGAGGGUAAAAUGGGGGACCGCAAGGCCUCACGCUAUAGGAGCGGCCGAUGGAAGAUUAGGUAGUUGGUAGGGUAAAGGCCUACCAAGCCGACGAUCUUUAGCGGGUCUGAGAGGACGAUCCGCCACACUGGGACUGAGACACGGCCCAGACUCCUACGGGAGGCAGCAGUGGGGAAUUUUGGACAAUGGGGGCAACCCUGAUCCAGCAAUGCCGCGUGAGUGAAGAAGGCCUUCGGGUUGUAAAGCUCUUUUGUUUGGGAAGAAAUCCCUAAGGAUAAUACCCUUGGGGGAUGACGGUACCAAAAGAAUAAGCACCGGCUAACUACGUG
Molecule: ribosomal RNA, 487 nt
Filed under: uncultured bacterium
Lineage: Bacteria
Description: bacterial SSU rRNA
Rfam family: Bacterial small subunit ribosomal RNA
Source: RNAcentral